UACGUAGGGGGCUAGCGUUGUCCGGAAUCAUUGGGCGUAAAGCGCGCGUAGGCGGCCCGGUAAGUCCGCUGUGAAAGUCGGGGGCUCAACCCUCGACUGCCGGUGGAUACUGUCGGGCUAGAGUGCGGAAGAGGCGAGUGGAAUUCCUGGUGUAGCGGUGAAAUGCGCAGAUAUCAGGAGGAACACCAAUUGCGAAGGCAGCUCGCUGGGACGGAACUGACGCUGAGACGCGAAAGCGUGGGGAGCAAACAGG
Molecule: ribosomal RNA, 253 nt
Filed under: uncultured bacterium
Lineage: Bacteria
Description: partial 16S ribosomal RNA
Rfam family: Bacterial small subunit ribosomal RNA
Source: RNAcentral